Molecule: ribosomal RNA, 478 nt
Filed under: uncultured bacterium
Lineage: Bacteria
Description: partial 16S ribosomal RNA
Rfam family: Bacterial small subunit ribosomal RNA
Source: RNAcentral
GACGAACGCUGGCGGCGUGCUUAACACAUGCAAGUCGAACGGUAAGGCCCUUCGGGGUACACGAGUGGCGAACGGGUGAGUAACACGUGGGUGAUCUGCCCUGCACUUCGGGAUAAGCCUGGGAAACUGGGUCUAAUACCGGAUAGGACCACUGCCUGCAUGGGUGGUGGUGGAAAGCUUUUGCGGUGUAGGAUGGGCCCGCGGCCUAUCAGCUUGUUGGUGGGGUGAUGGCCUACCAAGGCGACGACGGGUAGCCGGCCUGAGAGGGUGACCGGCCACACUGGGACUGAGAUACGGCCCAGACUCCUACGGGAGGCAGCAGUGGGGAAUAUUGCACAAUGGGCGCAAGCCUGAUGCAGCGACGCCGCGUGAGGGAUGACGGCCUUCGGGUUGUAAACCUCUUUCAGCACCGACGAAGCGCAAGUGACGGUAGGUGCAGAAGAAGGACCGGCCAAAUAAGUGCCAGCCGCCGCCGUAA